UCGACCGCCUGGGGAGUACGGCCGCAAGGUUAAAACUCAAAUGAAUUGACGGGGGCCCGCACAAGCGGUGGAGCAUGUGGUUUAAUUCGAUGCAACGCGAAGAACCUUACCUGGUCUUGACAUCCACAGAAGUUUCAGAGAUACGGGGGUGCCUUCGGGAACUGUGAGACAGGUGCUGCAUGGCUGUCGUCAGCUCGUGUUGUGAAAUGUUGGGUUAAGUCCCGCAACGAGCGCAACCCUUAUCCUUUGUUGCCAGCGGUCCGGCCGGGAACUCAAAGGAGACUGCCAGUGAUAAACUGGAGGAAGGUGGGGAUGACGUCAAGUCAUCAUGGCCCUUACGACCAGGGCUACACACGUGCUACAAUGGCGCAUACAAAGAGAAGCGACCUCGCGAGAGCAAGCGGACCUCAUAAAGUGCGUCGUAGUCCGGAUUGGAGUCUGCAACUCGACUCCAUGAAGUCGGAAUCGCUAGUAAUCGUGGAUCAGAAUGCCACGGUGAAUACGUUCCCGGGCCUUGUACACACCGCCCGUCACACCAUGGGAGUGGGUUGCAAAAGAAGUAGGUAGCUUAACCUUCGGGAGGGCGCUUACCACUUUGUGAUUCAUGACUGGGGUGAAGUCGUAACAAGGUAACCGUAGGGGAACCUGCGGUUGGAUCACCUCCUUACCUUAAAGAAGC
This 679-nucleotide ribosomal RNA is filed under the name Escherichia coli. RNAcentral describes it as "bacterial SSU rRNA". It matches the Rfam family "Bacterial small subunit ribosomal RNA", at positions 865 to 1533 of the family's 1533-position model. Lineage: Bacteria; Pseudomonadati; Pseudomonadota; Gammaproteobacteria; Enterobacterales; Enterobacteriaceae. The record is from RNAcentral.